AUUGCAAAUGGAUGCAAUGCUGCUGAAAUUUUCCCAGGAUUCUUCCAGAGCAACAAAGUUGCAGUGAAAAGAGUUGCAAAGCAUAUUUCUCAAAAUGAGAAUAAAAUGGCACAUGUCCUAUGUUCAGAAACAUUCAAAGCAGAACAUCUUUUACAACCAAUUGCAGUGUUGGAAGAUAAUUACUUUGCUUAUUUUGUCUCCCCUCUCUGCAAAUACAGUCUGGCGGAGGUAAUUGAAAACAAGAACUUUCCUGACAGAGAAAGUUUGACUGAGGCUCAAAGACUGGGGAUCUGCCAGGAGCUACUGCAAGGACGACAAGAACUCCAUUCACGCGGGAUUUUGCACAGAGACCUGAAGCCCGAAAACAUUUUGUUUGAUAUCAGCAACAAAUUGUUUAUCGCAGAUUUUGGAGCAAGCAGGAAACUGGAUUUGGCACAAUCAGCUUUGCAGUCUCAAAUGGCUGGAUCUUUGUCUUGGUCAAGUUAUGAAGAUGUUUGAGGCAUGCAAUACAAAUACAAGAAAGAGUCAGAUAUCCAGGUGUGCCAUAUCAAGAUGCUGAUUAGACACCAUGAUUAGUGCACAGGUGUGCCUUAGACUGCCCACAAUAAAAGGCCACUCUGAAAGGUGCAGUUUUAUCACACAGCACAAUGCCACAGAUGUGGCAAGAUUUGAGGGAGCGUGCAAUUGGCAUGCUGACAGCAGGAAUGUCAACCAGAGCUGUUGCUCGUGUGUUGAAUGUUCAUUUCUCUACCAUAAGCUGUCUCCAAAGGCGUUUCAGAGAAUUUGGCAGGACAUCCAACUAGCCUCACAACCGCAGACCACGUGUAACCACACCAGCCCAGGACCUCCACAUCCAGCAUGUUCACUUCCAAGAUGGUCUGAGACCAGUCACUCGGACAGCUGCUGAAACAAUCGGUUUGCAUAACCAAAGAAUUUGUGCACAAACUGUCAGAAACCGUCUCAGGGAAGCUCAUCUGCAAGCUUGUCAUCCUCAUCGGGGUCUCCACCUGACUCCAGUUCGUCGUCGUAACCGACUUGAGUGGGCAAAUGCUCACAUUUGAUGGCGUCUGGCACGUUGGAGAGGUGUUCUCUUCAUGGAUGAAUCCCGGUUUACACUCUUCAGGGCAGAUGGCAGACAGCGUGUGUGGUGUCGUGUGGACAACAGGGUGCCUGGUGCAUUACAUACUGACAGAUGGAGAGCACCCCUAUCAAGCAACUACACCCUACUCCAACGAUCCACUGGCGUUAUUUCAAAAUCUCAGAGCGGGCACCUUUACUCUUCAGUGCGAGGAAAGGCAUCAAGGUAUCAUUGGCAGAAUGCUGUGUAAAUCGACAGAAGCAU
Acanthochromis polyacanthus (spiny chromis) is the source of this 1342-nucleotide long non-coding RNA. RefSeq lists it as uncharacterized. The transcript has 4 exons. NCBI's taxonomy places the organism in Eukaryota, Metazoa, Chordata, Actinopteri, Pomacentridae. The record is from RefSeq and is a predicted model, not a curated record.